This 294-nucleotide long non-coding RNA is filed under the name Homo sapiens (human). Its description in RNAcentral is "HSALNT0360937". Lineage: Eukaryota; Metazoa; Chordata; Mammalia; Primates; Hominidae. The record is from RNAcentral.
GUGGGUGUUGGGGUUGGGGUCACCGUAGUGGUGGUGCUGAUGGGUAUCACGGUUGUACUCUUUGUGCUGGUGGGUGUUGGGGUUGGGGUCACCGUGGUGGUGGUGGUGAUGGGUGUCGGGGUUGGGGUCUGUGUGCCGGUGGGUGUUGGGGUUGGGGUCACCGUAGUGGUGGUGGUGAUGGGUGUCGAUGUUGGGGUCUGUGUGCCGGUGGGUGUUGGGGUUGGGGUCACCGUAGUGGUGGUGCUGAUGGGUGUCGAUGUUGGGGUCUGUGUGCCGGUGGGUGUUGGGGUUGGG